This 1860-nucleotide long non-coding RNA is filed under the name Suricata suricatta (meerkat). RNAcentral describes it as "lncRNA (ENSSSUG00005018739.1)". The record is from RNAcentral. Lineage: Eukaryota; Metazoa; Chordata; Mammalia; Carnivora; Herpestidae.
UCACUAUGGUGGGCUAAAUUUUUAAAAAAAUUUUUGAGAGAGCAUCAGUGGGGGAGAGGGACAGAGAGAGAGUGCAAAAGUGGGGGAGAGAGAAAGAGAGAGAGAAUCUCAAGCAGGCUCCACCCUCAGCAUGAGCCCAAUGAAGAGCUUGAUUUCACGACCUGAACUAAAACCAAGAGUUGGUUACUCAACCAGCUCAGCCAACUGAGCCACCCAGACGCCCCAGAGCUAUCUUCUUAACUAACUGUUGAUCUCACCAUGUGAUUUCUACAUACUUUCCUGUAGUGAAAAAAUAAGACACCAGUAAGCAAAAUGUAGUUACUACAGUUUUACCUCAAUUUAUAAAAACUCCUAAUACCAAAAUUUAGGUGCUAGUUGGGCUUGAUCUUCUACUUGGACUACUCAGAAACCUCACAUAAGAGGGGUACCCUGGGCGGCUUAGUUGGUUAAGUGUCUGACUCUUUUUUUUCGGCUCAGGUCAUAAUCUCACCGUUUGUGGGGUCGAGUGCCGUUUCGGAUCUGUGCUGAGCAUGGAGCUUACUUGGGAUUCUCUGUCUCUCCUUCUCUCUCAAAAUAAAUAAACAUUAAAAAAAAAAAAAGAAAGAAAGAAAGAAAGCUCACAGAUGGAGCAAUAGCAGUGGCUUGGGGGUAUCCCAAGUUAUGCUACCAAAUAGCAUAAAUAGCCCUACUGGGCUCCUGGAUGUGAACUAGAACUUUCCAAGGCAUUUGCCUUGGGUGAAAGAUUUCCUGGGCUAGUACCUGUUUAAAGAUGUUUAAUGGUUUCAGGGCACCGGAGGAGUGUUUUUUUUCUGCUCUUGGUCAAGUCUGCGAUCUCCACCCGCCUUGCCUCCCCAAGAAAAAAAGCAAUAAUACAAAGAGCUGAAAGACUGAUAGAGGAACCCUGUUGAAGUCUAUAAAUUUGUGUGAGACUUGUGUGUUUAAAAGGCAUACAGAGAAUUCUCAUUUGAGAAUCUCUUCUGGAAAACGACGGAAUAACUGGACACCAAACAAUUUACAAACGUCUACAACUCCCUACAUCCCCCGGAGCCUUGCUGCAGUGAUGAUGAUUUCAGUAAGAUGAAACUGCUGAGAUUCCCAGAAAGGAGGAGAUUCUAAGCGGCUGUUAGCACUCCAGGGCGGCCGCUCUCCUUGUCCCUGGGUGAAGUCUGUCUUAAAUGGCAAAAUGAUCUGAUUACAGCGUAAAGGAGCUGCUACCAAUCGAAAGAUCUGUGAGCAGGGCACACGGCAUCAAUACCAUCGGUGAACGUUGAGGCUCUUAUGUGGGCGAGGCACAAAGAAUUGCAAAGAGUUGCACAUAGCUCUGCCCUUUUGGUGCUCAUAACUAGACCAUCACCUGCGUGCGGCAGGGACCAUGUUUUUAUUUAUGUUGGUUUUCGUUAACGUUUAUAUUGGCUGACACCUCAAUACUCACAACCAUGUCUGGCGUGUCAUAGGUGCUAAAUAAAUAGAUGUUGAACAUCUGAAUCAACAGCUAUUAAAAUAGUCAGAGAGAAAAAGUUAAAUAAAAGGAAAGCUUCUAUUUUGUGAUGUAGCUUCUAAAAAGGAAAUUAUGUUCUUUUCAAAUGCCUUUAUAAAUAUUUAACACAAGACGCUAUACAUAGUAAAUGUGAAUUAAUAAGCGUAAUAAGCUCCAGCGAACCCCUCAUCUAUUCAAAUAACUAGAAAAUAACCAAUACUGUGGGAAAUACUUGUGUACUUCCAAAUGUCAUCCUUCCGCCUCCCCAUCAGCCCAAACUGCACUCUCAACUCAGGAAUAUUUUAACCCUAAGAUGCAUAAAUUAGAAACAAGGGUUUAUGGAAGCCAAGACUAUAAUUCUUCGUUACAAAUUACACAUAUAG